UCCUUCGGACGAGAAGAGACAGGUGGUGCAUGGUUGUCGUCAGCUCGUGUCGUGAGAUGUUGGGUUAAGUCCCGCAACGAGCGCAACCCUUGUGUUUAGUUGCCAACAGGUUAAGCUGUGCACUCUAAACAGACUGCCGUGGAUAACACGGAGGAAGGUGGGGAUGACGUCAAAUCAUCAUGCCCCUUAUGAUCUGGGCUACACACGUGCUACAAUGGUCGGUACAACGGGCAGCGAAAGAGUAAUCUGGAGCGAAUCCUAAAAAGCCGAUCCCAGUUCGGAUUGUGGGCUGAAACUCGCCCACAUGAAGUUGGAGUUGCUAGUAAUCGCGAAUCAGAAUGUCGCGGUGAAUGCGUUCCCGGGUCUU
Molecule: ribosomal RNA, 367 nt
Filed under: uncultured Fusibacter sp.
Lineage: Bacteria; Bacillati; Bacillota; Clostridia; Eubacteriales; Fusibacteraceae
Description: bacterial SSU rRNA
Rfam family: Bacterial small subunit ribosomal RNA
Source: RNAcentral